Molecule: long non-coding RNA, 223 nt
Filed under: Carica papaya (papaya)
Lineage: Eukaryota; Viridiplantae; Streptophyta; Magnoliopsida; Brassicales; Caricaceae
Description: long non-coding RNA (CPAP_LNC010462)
Source: RNAcentral
UAAAGGAGUGAGAGACAUAUUUAUCAAUUAAAGCACGUGCGAUAGUAUCAUAAACAAAAAACAUACCUUGAAUAAUAGUGGGUGUGAUAGGAACAUCAUACUCAUCCAGGUGGUAGACACAUCCCUGGGCAACAGGUCUGGCGAGGCCCUUGUGCCUCUAUAGGAAAUCCUUCACCAAAUGUUGUGUACUCCCGCACUUGUAAUAAGAGUGGUUCAGGCGUCA